UCAGUUGUAAUCUAGCACUUGGGGCUCCCAAACGAGUACCUGGUUACUCUUAUUUGCCCCGGGAAGGUCUGAGACAAGAUCAAGAUUCAUGGUUGAUUUUGAAUUGCUUCCAUCUCUUAGAAGGAGACUUGUAUAACGAAAAGGCAAGAGAACAAGAAAUUCUAUUGGGUCAAACCAAUAUUGGUAGCUCUUGUGAUCCGCAUUUGAAGUACAAUUUGCUGGCUCUUUGAAUUCCAAAGAGAACUCAAUUCAGACUAAUCUACAACUGA
This 269-nucleotide RNase P RNA is filed under the name Megaselia scalaris. RNAcentral describes it as "Nuclear RNase P". It matches the Rfam family "Nuclear RNase P". From Rfam's summary of the family: Ribonuclease P (RNase P) is a ubiquitous endoribonuclease, found in archaea, bacteria and eukarya as well as chloroplasts and mitochondria. Lineage: Eukaryota; Metazoa; Arthropoda; Insecta; Diptera; Phoridae. The record is from Rfam by way of RNAcentral.